Xyrauchen texanus (razorback sucker) is the source of this 1801-nucleotide long non-coding RNA. RefSeq lists it as uncharacterized. NCBI's taxonomy places the organism in Eukaryota, Metazoa, Chordata, Actinopteri, Cypriniformes, Catostomidae. The record is from RefSeq and is a predicted model, not a curated record. The transcript has 9 exons.
AUCUUAUCAUCCUUUUUACGUUUUGAUUUCCGAUUUAAUUUGACACGCUUUCGAGUCAUGUUCAAAAAUAAAGUUUUCUGUCCAUCGGCCUCUACUGGAAUGUGUCAGAGCAAAGUCCGAGACUAGAACAGAAGCAUCAGAUAAUACUGACGAAAGGACAUGAUCCCCUUCUCUCUGUUGAGCAAGCAAGCAGGAGGAUAUGUCCUAGCACAACAUAAUUUGAUUUCUAAUCAGUGUUUCCAACUCAUAGCUGCACUUGCAGCUUCACAGUUAUGUGGUGGUGACCUGGCUGCCACCAUUUGACAACGAUCCUCUGCCAGCUUUACCUGAUGAUGCUGCAACCAAGGACUUUAUUUUACUCCCUUCAUGGGAGUUAAGGCACUGGAUUGUAUGUAAUCUUGGCAAAUCAAAUUUCACCUGGCUUUUAGACUAUGUCCUUACUGAGAGACUGUGAGGGUGCACCACUUCAGCUUGGAGGGACUGACUGUGUGAUAUUCAUGUUUAUGUAUGCCCUUUAUGUGACCCUUGGGAAGCCCUUUGAUUUUUCAGCAGUGAGUUUUUAUACAUUUCUGGUUAUCUGUUCUGCAAAAAGGAUUGAAAACACAAUUAAAAAUGUAUGCUUAAGAUUUUCAAUUUCAUCUUUUAUCAGUCUGACAAGACUGUAAUCAGGAGGUGGUGGUGCCAUCAGUAACUGCAGGCAUUUCCUCUGGCAAGGCAUGAUACUGAUAAAUAUAUUUUGGAUGAAGAUAUCCAUUAUGUGCAUUCCCAGUAUGCAGGUCAUUUGUAAUAAAAAAAAGAAUGCACACUGGAAACAAUUUGACUUUUUUUUUUUUUUUUUUUUUUACUUUUUCUUCAAAGCCAACAGUCAGUCACCAAACAAAUAAUCCAACCGGAUCUAAACAUCAUGGAGGUCACCCCAACUACAAGAAUCCAUGUCUCGGUGGUGAUGAAACCGAUUCUGCUCGCCUGUGACUGGGUGGAGGAGAACAGAACCCACUUUGUUGGGAAAGUUCACUUACCACAGGUCAAAAGGAUGAACGAGUAUGAUGCCUUGAUGGCCAUAACAAUGCGGGACCUGUUUAUUGACACUAUUUUCUAUGAAGGUGAAAUGGAUGAGGACAAAAUCCAGACUCCCUUCCUUUUCACCUUUGAGAGAAAAGAGGACAUGGAGUUUUUAAUGAAAAAUAUGACAAAAUAAAUAUUUGUAUGUCUUGCCUGCACAACCCUCACUUUCAACAAGAUAACUGAUGGGGUAGAUCUGGGUAAAUUUAGUUUUGUAUUGUCUUGUAGUUUUAGGUUUUUUAACCAAUUAAAGUUUUGUGGGGAAAAAAGUGUUCUUGAAACGUAAUAUACUAAAACUCAGUUUUGUAUCUUAUAUCUUAUUAUACAUUUUUUUCCUAGAUUGAAGAUUGAUUCUUAUGUUAGCUGUACAUUUUGCUAACAAAGGUUAAUAGAAAUAAAAUAAAUACAGCAACACUUGAGAGCAGUGAAGUAUGUGACUAAUAAAUUGUAAAUUAAGUAACACUUCCAGUCUACUAAUAAAUGUUCCUGGAAUGUUGCCUUGCAACUAGUCUCAGAGCACACUUGUCCACUUGAUUGUUUUCUUUAGUGUGACAGGUGGCUGGUUUCAGACUACUGAACAGGUUACUUAUUACCAUUUGAUUAAAACAGUGAUUUGAUUAAGAUGUGGACUGAGUCCAUCCAAAAUUAUAUUCACAACUACACUGUUGUAUAUGCAUUCAUUUUUCUUUUUGAGGUGGAGAUCCUAAGUGUACAUUUAAAAGGAAUAAACGAGAUAAGA